RNAcentral lists this ribosomal RNA (159 nucleotides) under Thamnolia vermicularis. RNAcentral describes it as "5.8S ribosomal RNA". It matches the Rfam family "5.8S ribosomal RNA". From Rfam's summary of the family: 5.8S ribosomal RNA (5.8S rRNA) is a component of the large subunit of the eukaryotic ribosome. It is transcribed by RNA polymerase I as part of the 45S precursor that also contains 18S and 28S rRNA. Functionally, it is thought that 5.8S rRNA may be involved in ribosome translocation. The record is from RNAcentral. Lineage: Eukaryota; Fungi; Ascomycota; Lecanoromycetes; Pertusariales; Icmadophilaceae.
AAAACUUUCAACAACGGNUCUCUUGGUUCUGGCAUCGAUGAAGAACGCAGCGAAAUGCGAUAAGUAAUGUGAAUUGCAGAAUUCAGUGAAUCAUCGAAUCUUUGAACGCACAUUGCACCUUCUGGCAUUCCGGGAGGUAUGCCUGUCCGAGCGUCAUUU